AUCGGCUGGGCCAUAUACUGGCAGUUCAUGACGAAGGCAGGGGAGCGAAAGGGAUUAGAUACCCUGUAGUCCUGGCCGUAGCGAUGAACACUAGGUGUCGGGGAAUCGACCCCUCGGUGUCGUAGCCAACGCGUUAAGUGUCCGCCUGGGAGUACGCCGCAAGUGUGAACUCAAAGGAAUUGACGGGGCUCGCCAAGCGGUGGAGUAUGUGGUUUAAUUCGAUGCAACGCGAAGAACCUUAACAGGGUUUGACAUCCUGUGAAUCCCUUGGAAACGAGGGGAGUGCCUUCGGGAGCGCAGAGACAGGUGGUGCAUGGCUGUCGUCAGCUCGUGUCGUGAGAUGUUGGGUUAAGUCCCGCAAACGAGCGCAAACCCACGUCGUUAGUUGCCAGCAUUUAGUUGGGCACUCUAGCGAGACCGCCGGUGAUAAACCGGAGGAAGGUGUGGAUGACGUCAAGUCAUCAUGCCCCUUACAUCCUGGGCUACACACGUACUACAAUGCUACGGACAAAGGGCAGCAAACUCGCGAGAGCUAGCAAAUCCCAUAAACCGUGGCUCAGUUCAGAUCGUAGGCUGCAACUCGCCUACGUGAAGGAGGAAUCGCUAGUAAUCGCAGGUCAGCAUACUGCGGUGAAUACGUUCCCGGGCCUUGUACACACCGCCCGUCACACCAUGGAAGUUGGCCACGCCCGAAGCCGUUACUCCAACCCUUGUGGAGGAGGACGUCGAAGGUGGGGCUGAUGACUGGGGUGAAGUCGUAACAAGGUAGCCGUACCGGAAGGUGCGGCUGGAUCACCUCCUAACAGGGAGACAACUCAGACGUUGAUGCUUGACCAGAUUUGAUGUUAAGCCAGUGUCCUGUCACUCUAGGUCGAUCGGUACCUCAGCUUUGAGAUUGAGAACUGUAGAGAAGCGAAGCAGAAGUCAGCAGGGAAACCAGCUGAUGGAUGUGAUGUGAAUCUAUUGUUGCUCAAGACUCAAUUUUCAGUUCCUAAACGUUGUCUAGGUCACCCCAUAGCGGGUUUCACCUCCUGGGCCAUUAGCUCAGGGGUUAG
This 1055-nucleotide small RNA is filed under the name uncultured cyanobacterium. RNAcentral describes it as "bacterial SSU rRNA". The stretch from base 1 to 803 matches the Rfam family "Bacterial small subunit ribosomal RNA", at positions 724 to 1533 of the family's 1533-position model. Lineage: Bacteria; Bacillati; Cyanobacteriota. The record is from RNAcentral.